Molecule: ribosomal RNA, 439 nt
Filed under: uncultured bacterium
Lineage: Bacteria
Description: partial 16S ribosomal RNA
Rfam family: Bacterial small subunit ribosomal RNA
Source: RNAcentral
CCUACGGGCGGCAGCAGUGGGGGAUAUUGCACAAUGGGGGAAACCCUGAUGCAGCGACGCCGCGUGGGUGAAGAAGCGCCUCGGCGCGUAAAGCCCUGUCAGCAGGGAAGAAAAUGACGGUACCUGAAGAAGAAGCCCCGGCUAACUACGUGCCAGCAGCCGCGGUAAUACGUAGGGGGCAAGCGUUAUCCGGAUUUACUGGGGGUAAAGGGGGCGCAAACGGCGAUGCAAGCCAGGAGUGAAAGCCCGGGGCCAAACCCCGGGACUGCUCUUGGAACUGUGUGGCUAGGGUGCAGGGGGGGAAGGCGGAAUUCCGGGGGUGGCGGGGAAAUGCGAGGAUAUCAGGGGGAAAACCGGGGGCGAGGGCGGCCUGCUGAACUGCAACUGAGGUUGGGGCCCGAAAGCGUGGGGGGCAAACAGGAUUAGAUACCCUUUAGUC